UACGAAGGUCCCAAGCGUUGUUCGGAAUCACUGGGCGUAAAGGGAGCGUAGGCGGCGUGGUAAGUCAGAUGUGAAAUCCCGGGGCUCAACCCCGGAACUGCAUCCGAUACUGCCAUGCUAGAGGAUUGGAGAGGUAGCUGGAAUUCUUGGUGUAGCAGUGAAAUGCGUAGAGAUCAUGAGGAAGACCAGUGGCGAAGGCGGGUCUCUGGACAGUUCCUGACACUGAGACACGAAGGCCAGGGGAGCAAACGGG
Molecule: ribosomal RNA, 253 nt
Filed under: uncultured bacterium
Lineage: Bacteria
Description: partial 16S ribosomal RNA
Rfam family: Bacterial small subunit ribosomal RNA
Source: RNAcentral